UGAGUAAUGCAUAGAUAAUGUGCCCCUUAGUUCGGGAUAGCCACUGGAAACGGUGAUUAAUACCGGAUACUCCUUCUUGUUAUAAGACAAGUCGGGAAAGUUUUUCGCUAAGGGAUCAGUCUAUGUUCCAUCAGCUUGUUGGUGAGGUAAUGGCUCACCAAGGCUAUGACGGAUAUCUGGUUUGAGAGGAUGAUCAGACACACUGGAACUGAGACACGGUCCAGACUCCUACGGGAGGCAGCGGUGAGGAAUAUUGCACAAUGGAGGAAACUCUGAUGCAGCAACGCCGCGUGGAGGAUGACGCAUUUCGGUGUGUAAACUCCUUUUAUUAGGGAAGAUAAUGACGGUACCUAAUGAAUAAGCACCGGCUAACUCCGUGCCAGCAGCCGCGGUAAUACGGAGGGUGCAAGCGUUACUCGGAAUCACUGGGCGUAAAGGGUGCGUAGGCUGGCUUUUAAGUCAGAUGUGAAAUCCAAUGGCUCAACCAUUGAACUGCAUUUGAAACUGAAAGCCUAGAGUUCAGAAGGGGCAGAUGGAAUUAGUGGUGUAGGGGUAAAAUCCGUAGAUAUCACUAGGAAUAUCAAAAGCGAAGGCGAUCUGCUGGGAUGAU
RNAcentral lists this ribosomal RNA (610 nucleotides) under uncultured bacterium. Its description in RNAcentral is "bacterial SSU rRNA". It matches the Rfam family "Bacterial small subunit ribosomal RNA", at positions 107 to 738 of the family's 1533-position model. The record is from RNAcentral.